Molecule: unclassified non-coding RNA, 141 nt
Filed under: soil metagenome
Description: partial internal transcribed spacer 1
Source: RNAcentral
UCAAAACAGCGGACUUCAGGUCCUUGCUGCACCCUUGUCUUUUGCGCACCGUAUUGUUUCCUCGGCGGGCUUGCCUGUCGGUUGGACAUUAUCAAAACCUUUUUGUAGUUGCAAUCAGCGUCAGAAAAACAAUAAUUAUUA